GUGAGCUAGAGAUCUGUAUAACAUAGAGUGAAGGACCCUUUCUGGUUCUUUUUUGAAAUGGAAUUGAGAUAAAGUUUUUCUUUUCUUUUUUUUUUUUUCCAUCCAAAAACUCAUAUACCCUCUAUAGUCUUCAUUUUACAGAGAUAGAUAUCUAUUGUUUUCUACUCUCUAACUCACAGCAAUGUUCUAAGAAUCCUAAGUGAGUGCUUUUACUUAGUUCUUUCAUCCCCCAGGCGGAGGAAAGGAAACCACGCAAGUUCAGGGGAGCAGUUUGCAUUGAACACCUGUUAAUCUUUUUAUAUUUUACUGCUGUUUCCGCAGCAUGAAAGAGACUGUUUUCAUUACCGCCACUGACAAAUGUUAUUAUGUGUUAAACAUCCACUUGUCCUUGUAUUUAGAGAUGUAGGCCAUCAUUGACUUUCUGUCAAAUCACUUUGCAGAAAUUCUUGUAGGUAUUUGGAAGCUGAGACCAUUUUCUCAGCUCAUCCUAAACAUAUAGAUUUCAUCUUGUGUGCUAAGAGACCAUAAGAGGAGUUUAGAGAUACAUCUGAAACAGUCCUUCAGGUAAAGAAGAUUCUGGAAAUGUAUGGGGCUCAGAAGUAUGCAUUAUGAUUAUGGAAAAACUGUUCCUAAGUUUUCAGUCUCCUAAACUUUUUCCUAGUUGAAGAUAACAAAUUCUGAUUGGUCCUUGAUGGAGUUUGUUUACCAAGCCAUUUUCUGGUUUUAAAUGUUUCUUUUCUUCAAAAUAGUGAGGAAAAUGUCUCUCUCCCUUUGUCAGGUUUUAGUAUUAAAAAAUUGUUUGUAUGAAUCUCAACUGAUCAGUGCUUCUCACAACCAAGUUAGAUCUCUGUCUGGUAUCAUACUUUGUAUUUAUCCAAUCACAGUCAAGUAAAUUGCCUCUAUCAUCUUUUUUCUUGAACUGCAAGCUCUCUGAAGAAAAAUCUCUUCUUAGCACCUCGUUCCUGACACAUGAAGGAGCUUCUUGAAUCUUUGGUUUCAUUUUUGUAUUAUAUUUACUUCAGUUCCAUAAAUUCUAUUCUGUAGCUUCUCAUUGUGACACAAGUGCAACAGUUAAAUAGAAAAUUCUAUAAUCUAGUCACUUAUGCCUGUCGCAGGAAUCAUUUCAUUUGGAGAAGACGUAUUUUCCAUUUAGUAUGAAUGAUAGAAAUGCAUAUUAUGAAAAAGGAAAUUAUCAAAAUUAUAAUGGAGUAGUCAUAACUAUUGUUUGUUUGUAUAAUACUUUCAGCAUCACAAACAACUUAAAAGAUGAUAAUGGGUAACAUCUUGUGGCAGACCUGUUCUGUGCGAUGUGCUAAGCACCUUGCAUACAUUCUUUUGUUUGUAAUUCACUGAGAUUCUAUGAACUAAGUGCUAUGUUAAGGUUAGAUAUUGACUUGCCAGAGUUAACACAGCUUGUAAAAGAUGGAUCUGGGAUUCCAACCAAGCCUUGCCCGACUCCACGAUCUAUAGAUUAACUAUGACAUAAUCUAUCUUCCUAUCCAUUAUCUCAUUUCAUUCUUAUUACUCAUAAGCUAUUAAUUUCCUUUUAUUCAGGGUCAGGGAAACUGAGAUUCAGGGAAGUUUAGGCUUAGCCUUAAGCUUCCGUCCUGGAAAAGCCAGAAAAAUACUAGAAAGGGAAAAUUUUCUCGUUUUUCUCUCCUAUCCCAUUUCUUUCCCAUGCCCCGCCCCCAUUUAUAUCCUCUUUAAAACCUUGAGGGUUCAGGUGCUACCCAUUUGAACCACAUUUGCUUUUUCCACCAAAAUAAAACUCUGCUGGGGAUUCUCUUAGAACAGCUUCCCUAGAAUGCAGAGCCUGGGGCACAAGCUACGUGCUAAUAUUUCACUGGGGAGAACAGUUUUUAGGAAGCAGGAGUGAAGUGAAAAGGAAAUUAAAGGGAAGUUGAAAAGGGGAAAUACAAAGGGAUCCAUUACCUAGCUGAUCACAACUUUGUGAAAGUGGGGCUGAUUGUUUAUUCUCACGAGGUGCCUGUAUGGACUUUUUUUUUUUUCUUUUUCUGUUUAAACAGUCAGUCUUGGAGGAGAAAGGAAAAAUAAUGUAUCUAUGAAUUCUCUUCUCGCAUUUCCAAAGUUUCCCCCAUUGUAUGUCACCUGAGUUACUCUCAGCCCUCCUGCGGCAGCUGUUCUAGGGAGUGACCAGGAAAGCUAAAUCCUAACACAGUGGAAGUAUCCAUGUAACAAGCCAAGAUAUAUGAGGUAGUCCAUGGUCAGUCUCUGUCUGGUCACCUACAGUUUAAAGGUCCAUGGACCCCCAAGGGACCAGUCAGGGCUCCUGCAGAGGCACUGAGCUAGUCCUCACGAAUGACAAGGAAACCUAUAGUUUGUCUGUUAAGAUGCAAAAGGCGUGAUGCUAUCACAUCAUGCCUGCACAGCACAUUAUCACAAUUGCAAAAAUCCUGCAGUGUGUGACAGGAAAAUAUGCAAGCAGAUUGAAAAAAAUCAGGAAUUCUAGAAAACCUAGGGAUCUCCUCAAGAGAAGGAUUUAUCUUCCAAGGAAUCAGCUGUAGCUUUCCCGAAUGUCGAAGAACAGAAGUUGGGGGUUACCCUGCAAGCCCAGGCUGGGUUGGGUCACAUAAGUGCAUGGGCACAUUUACAAAUUAUAUCCAGGUUGUUUCCAACUUUUAUCUGAUAACAGUUCACUCUAAGCAGGUGCUUAGCAUUCUCAUCAUAUAAUAGUAUCUCUGCACACUUGAGUUCUCAGAGGUCCAAUGAGAGGCAGGUUUCUCCACCCUGGUAGACCCCACUGUAUCUCACUACCCAUGACCACAAGUUCCUGAAGACACGGCCCUGCCAGAGGAUGGCUGCUGAAUUUAAACCUUCCUGCACAGAAGAUGAAAACCUCAUCCCAGCACCUAUUAAAAUGCAGUUGUUGCCAGGCAGUCUUCUUUAGAAGGUCAUCAAAAGCAUCAAGCAGAAAACUGGCUGAUUGAAUCCCGAGAGUUGUCUAAACUCUGUGGACUAAAGCACAAGUUCCAACUUAUCCUGCCCUCAUGCUGGGACAUAGCUAAGCCUGAAUAAGUUUGGAGGGCUUUUGAGUCAGAAGAGGGGAGACCCUCCUGAUCGUAAUUUAGGUGAUGGUCUUAGGUACUUCAGGGAGGUGAAUCCAUCCUGAGGAAGAGAGCAUGAGAUGGAAAUUUGGUCCCAUGACAAAGUAUCUUUUAGUGUAAGGAGGGAUGUGCCUCAUGCUUAUCCUCCUGGACUGUCUGAUUACUAUAUGAAUGGGCUGUUAAAAAAGAAAACACUAAAAUAGCUAUCUCUAUCUACUUUUCACUGGGUGCUGUCAGAACCUGCAUAGGUCACAAGGGUCAGGAAGUGGUACGUGUAGCAACCAAUGGCAGUAUUCCUUGUGUGAUGAGCAAGGACAGAUAUUCUGGCUGUAGCAGCAUGAGUGGCGUUAUCUACCAUAUUCCCGACAUCAGAUGUUGCCACCACUGACCCAGACAUUAGUGUCUUUGGCCUCUAGUGUCAGCAACCUAGGUCCAGCCAUCAGUAGCCUUAGUAACAUCAGCAGCUGCAAAGAAGCUUCAGCAGGCGUGAUCAGCUGGAGGUGUACUUUUGGUGAGGGAAGUAAGAGGCAGACAGCUCUAGAACACGCUGGGGGGUGUGCUUUUCUGUGUUCUUGAGGGACAGGCAACCUGGAUGGGGGAGUGUUGACUGUGCCUAACUCAUGCUUUAAUGGUGAUGGUGCUGGGGUCAUUUCAGGACCACUCAGUUGCCUAAGAAAACUUGCUCCACAUUCUCUAGGCGGCAAGAGAGAGACAGGUCCAGGGGUCUACAAACUUUUUUCUGUAAAGGGCCAGUAGCAGCUUUCUUUUUAUCCCUUAUUCCUAACAGACCAGAAAACAAACACCCUUUCUAAUAUUGUGCCAUUUCUGUCUCUACCAUUAACAUUUUAUUUUGACUUUAUAACUCUUUAACUGCAUGAAACAUUUAUAUAAGACAGUAAAGAAUAGUGAUGCAUUCAUUAUUUUUUAUUGCCUGGAGGAUGACUGAAAAUGAAAUGUACUUACCAGCUGCCAUAGUCAACUGAUGAAAUUAUGUGUCCUCCAUUCAUUGAUCAGUUUAUGAAAUGAUAAGAAAUACGUAUUCCAUUAUUUUACAAGCAUUAUGUGUGAAACUCAUAAUUGCUUAUAACACUAAAUCCCAAUUCUUCUGCAAGAGACAUGAGGCAAACGAAUAACUGAAAAAUCCUGUCCUAGGCAUAAUGUAACCUCAGAAUUACGGUCAAUAUGCACAUUCAGUGAAAACAAGCCAUGAAAUUUAGCAUCCAGGGAAUACUCUUGCACAAGUUGACUUGAAUAAUUAAAUAUACUCCCCUCCCUGUAAUAGGGUGGCUGUUCGUCUGUAGAGGAACAUGAGAUGCUUCAAGUAUCACUAGAAUAGGGGCUCAGAGAUCUAUGAUGGUAACAUAUGUGUUUAUUCAGUGUAUACAUAUUUAUACACACAUACAUCAUAUAUGUUCACUGUGUAUGUACAUGCAUGUGCAAACAGAUAUAUACAUACACGUACGUAUUUUCCAAACUCUGUUGAUUUAAUCUUAUUUUAUUUAAGCUCAUGUAGCCUAAAAAAAGAAGAGAGCUUAGACAUCAGCACCCGCCUUAUUUUCAUGGGAUCGCUCUGCAGAUCCCAGGGAGCGUGUAACCGAGUAUGGUCUAGUCACGACACGAAUGCCAGCUGAGUUAGGAUUCAAAACACCCUCUUCUCCAUUCCUGCUACCACAUCCUGCCUUGAGCUCUCCUCAUCUCCACCUCCAGUCAAUACUCUUUUCCCUGCUGGAAAUCUCUUUUUAGUUUAUUGCUCUUUUCAUUGUAUGGAGACUUUCUUCAUUGUUUUUUUCUUUCAAGCUUUGUGUGGGCUUCAUAUCUUAUUUGCCAUUAGGAAUACAAUAAUGCAAUCCAUUGUAAAAGAUUUAUAGUUUUUCAACACUGAAACACAUUUCCUGCUAUUCUGCUCUUAUGCCCUUAUCGAUAUUUAUAAAUAUUCUGAGAUAGCAAAUGAUCUCAAUAAAUAUCACCAUUUGCAAAUACUUAUUUAGGUGCUGAAUAUUAUAAAACAAAAAAAAUUGUGGAAAUAAAUUAGCUGAGGCUUAUAGAAGACUAGUUCUCUAGUUUAAUUCCUUAUUUCAAGUGAUUUUAUUUGUUGACAAUUUCAUUUUUUCUCAUGGACUGACUUUUAAACUUAGAAAAUAAAUGUGCAUGAAUAAAAUUAACUUUCAUCAGUUUCCCCAAAUAUGUUUACCAUAAAAUAUUUUAUUUUAAAAAGUUUCUUGCUAUUUAAAAAUGAAGUGAAAAUCAGUGAAACAGUAAAAUAAUGUUAAAAUUGAGGUGUUGACAGGUGAAUGUACCAUAUGUUGAGAUAUUUAGCCAAAUUAAGUGCAAGAAAAGAACUUAAGAAGUAAAUGACUCCAAGACUAGUUUUCUGAAACAAAGAGCCUAUAGAAACUCCCCUAGAAGCUCAUUUAGGGUCGCUGGUGUGUAAAAUCACAGAAACAAGACCCACUCUGUCAGAGCUGCAGAUAGAACCCUUGCCUCGCCCCCAAAUUCUUUCAUUCAACCUAUUUCUAAUGCAUGCCAGGCACUUUUCUAGGUACUAGGUUAAAUAAAAUAGGUGACUCUUGCCCUUGAGGAGAUUACAUUCUAGCAGGAGAAAACAGACAAGAAGCCCAAUACGGUAUGAUGAUGAUGAUAAUAAUAAUAAUAUUAUUCCAAGAUGGAAAAAAUAAAGCCAGUUCAUUUAACUGAGAGUGCUAGGCUGGGGAGGGAUGUUGGGUUAUUUUGGGUAAGUGUCAUAGAGAAGGAGACUUGCAGCUGAGGAGGGAAUGAGCCACGUGAGUUUCUGGAGGCAGACUGUCGUGACGAGUGACCAGUUCACAGGGGCUGUGGGAACAGAAGGAGGUCCGUGUGCUGUGGUGGAAAGAUGAGGAGUGAAAAUAAUUAAUAGCCCAUGAUUACUCACCUCCCCACACUGUCAUAGACCCUGCAAUAGCUUCCAGACUGUGGUUUUGAAGCCACUGUUGUAGUCAUAACUACCAUUCGACAGAUGAAGACACUGAGUCUUAGAAAUUAAGCUACUGGCUCAAGGUCACUGUUUUGUAUGUACAUUUAGCAUUUUUAGCACUGCCUUGCUCUUUGAUUCUUAAGAUCCUUAUUUUGCCCACAACAAAACUCCAAAGAACUUAACUCCCUCAUGAUUGCAUGAAUGUUAGAGAUAGGAUUAAAAUCCAGUUCUGUUUUUAAGAUUAAUGUUCAGGGCAACUGCACAUGGGGGCCUCUUGUGAAAUUGCCCAAUAACAACUAAGAAAUGCAACUACAGACAGGCAAUGUGAGGUUUGCUAAAAUUUCCUAAAGAGGAGAAUAGUAUUAUUUGCCAUGCUGAAGGGUCUGAGUCCUUUAAUGGGGUUCAAAUGGGAGAAAGGAUCCUUUUAGAAUUUGUGGAAUGAUUUCAAUUAAAGAGACGAGGAUACAGGGGAAAUGUGGAGGGAAACGGGGGUUGGGAUUGACAUAUACAGACGACUCUAUAUAAAAUAAAUAGGUUAGGAGUUCCCCUUGUGGCUCAGCAAGUUAAGAACCUGACAUAGUGUCUGUGAGGAUACGGGUUCAAUCCCUGGCCUCGAUCAGUGAGUUAAGGAUCUGGCAUUGCCUUGAGCUGUGGCAUUGGUUGCAGAAGCAGCUUGGAUCUGGUGUUGCUGUGGCUGUAGUGUAGGCCGGCAGCUGCAGCUCAGAUUUGACCCCUAGCCUGGGAACUUCCAUGC
Molecule: long non-coding RNA, 6769 nt
Filed under: Sus scrofa (pig)
Lineage: Eukaryota; Metazoa; Chordata; Mammalia; Artiodactyla; Suidae
Description: lncRNA (ENSSSCG00050064464.1)
Source: RNAcentral